UCUUCUGCUUCUCAUUCUGUGCACGCUCGCUUCGCCCACUCGCUGCACACUCUCUUCGUCGCCUCGCUCCGUCUUGUUCGAACGCCCUGUCCUCCGGCUCUGUACCAUGGCCAUCCGUUCCUCCAUUGGUGCUGUUGGUUGAGCUUUGUUGGAUUUCGCGUUGGCUCCUUCGUAGGAGCCUGGGUCAUUCUGUCCUUGCUGUCCAGGUUGUUCCAUCUUGCUGAUUUGGUGCAGAAUCUCCGUUUAGCUCAUCGCCGCGUCUUCAUUCUGCUUGUUGGGCCGCGUCAAGUGUGGCCUCUGGGCUGCUUGUGUCUCCUUGACCCAUUUAUUCGUGAUGCAAGGAAAUGGUGUCUGUGUUGUCCCCUCCUGCAGCCGUUAGAUCUAGCCCCUUGCCUGAAACAUGAUACCAUUAUACAGCAGUGCAAGUGUCUUGCCUGAUGGUCAUUAAAAAAUUCAUAUACACGAAUGGUUGGACUGAAUUUUUCAACAUAAUAAGUACUUGUUUUCUACAGU
Molecule: long non-coding RNA, 513 nt
Organism: Triticum dicoccoides
Lineage: Eukaryota; Viridiplantae; Streptophyta; Magnoliopsida; Poales; Poaceae
Exons: 4
Source: RefSeq, a predicted model, not a curated record